GACGAACGCUGGCGGCGUGCUUAACACAUGCAAGUCGAGCGGUAAGGCCCUUUCGGGGGGUACACGAGCGGCGAACGGGUGAGUAACACGUGGGUGACCUGCCUUUAGCUCUGGGAUAAGCCUGGGAAACCGGGUCUAAUACCGGGAUAUGACUCCGCGGCGCAUGUUGUGGGGUGGAAAGCCUUGUGCGGCUGGAGAUGGGCCCGCGGCCUAUCAGCUUGUUGGUGGGGUGAUGGCCUACCAAGGCGACGACGGGUAGCCGGCCUGAGAGGGCGACCGGCCACACUGGGACUGAGACACGGCCCAGACUCCUACGGGAGGCAGCAGUGGGGAAUCUUGCGCAAUGCGCGAAAGCGUGACGCAGCAACGCCGCGU
This 375-nucleotide ribosomal RNA is filed under the name uncultured bacterium. Its description in RNAcentral is "bacterial SSU rRNA". It matches the Rfam family "Bacterial small subunit ribosomal RNA", at positions 28 to 402 of the family's 1533-position model. The record is from RNAcentral.